UAGCUAGUUGGUGAGGUAAAGGCUUACCAAGGCGACGAUCUGUAGCGGGUCUGAGAGGAUGAUCCGCCACACUGGAACUGAGACACGGUCCAGACUCCUACGGGAGGCAGCAGUGGGGAAUUUUGGACAAUGGGGGCAACCCUGAUCCAGCCAUGCCGCGUGAGUGAAGAAGGCCUUCGGGUUGUAAAGCUCUUUCGGCCGGGAAGAAAUCGCAUGGGCCAAUACCCUGUGUGGAUGACGGUACCGGAAUAAGAAGCACCGGCUAACUACGUGCCAGCAGCCGCGGUAAUACGUAGGGUGCGAGCGUUAAUCGGAAUUACUGGGCGUAAAGCGUGCGCAGGCGGUUUUGUAAGACAGGCGUGAAAUCCCCGGGCUUAACCUGGGAACUGCGUUUGUGACUGCAAGGCUAGAGUACGGCAGAGGGGGGUGGAAUUCCACGUGUAGCAGUGAAAUGCGUAGAGAUGUGGAGGAACACCAAUGGCGAAGGCAGCCCCCUGGGUCGAUACUGACGCUCAUGCACGAAAGCGUGGGUAGCAAACAGGAUUAGAUACCCUGGUAGUCCACGCCCUAAACUAUGUCAACUAGGUGUUGGGUGGGUAAAACCAUUUAGUACCGUAGCUAACGCGUGAAGUUGACCGCCUGGGGAGUACGGCCGCAAGGUUAAAACUCAAAGGAAUUGACGGGGACCCGCACAAGCGGUGGAUGAUGUGGAUUAAUUCGAUGCAACGCGAAAAACCUUACCUACCCUUGACAUGCCAGGAACUUGCCAGAGAUGGCUUGGUGCCCGAAAGGGAGCCUGGACACAGGUGCUGCAUGCUGUCGUCACUCGUGUCGUGAGAUGUUGGGUUAAGUCCCGCAACGAGCGCAACCCUUGUCGUUAAUUGCCAUCAUUUAGUUGGGCACUUUAACGAGACUGCCGGUGACAAACCGGAGGAAGGUGGGGAUGACGUCAAGUCCUCAUGGCCCUUAUGGGUAGGGCUUCACACGUCAUACAAUGGUCGGUACAAAGGGUUGCCAAGCCGCGAGGCGGAGCCAAUCCCAGAAAGCCGAUCGUAGUCCGGAUUGCAGGCUGCAACUCGCCUGCAUGAAGUCGGAAUCGCUAGUAAUCGUGGAUCAGCAUGUCACGGUGAAUACGUUCCCGGGUCUUGUACACACCGCCCGUCACACCAUGGGAGCGGGUUCCGCCAGAAGUAGGUAGCCUAACCGCAAGGGGGGCGCUUACCACGGCGGGGUUCGUGACUGGGGUGAAGUCGUAACAAGGUAGCCGUAGGGGAACCUGCGGCUG
Molecule: ribosomal RNA, 1285 nt
Filed under: metagenome
Description: bacterial SSU rRNA
Rfam family: Bacterial small subunit ribosomal RNA
Source: RNAcentral